CCUGAACGCUGGCGGCGUGGCUAAGACAUGCAAGUCGCACGGUGUAGCAAUACACAGUGGCGAACGGGUGAGUAAUGAAUCGCUAAUGUACCCCGGACUCUGGGAUAGCUACCCGAAAGGGUAGGUAAUACCAGAUGAUAUGCAGCUAUCGCAUGAUAGUUGCCUCAAAGGUCCGCCGGUCUGGGAGCAGGCGAUUUCGUAUCAGCUAGUUGGGAGGUAACGGCUCACCAAGGCGAUGACGCGUAGCCGGACUGAGAGGUUGGCCGGCCACAUUGGGACUGAGACACUGCCCAGACUCCUACGGGGGGCUGCAGUAACGAAUCUUCCGCAAUGCACGCAAGUGUGACGGAGCGACGCCGCGUGUAGGACGAA
RNAcentral lists this ribosomal RNA (372 nucleotides) under uncultured bacterium. RNAcentral's name for it is "bacterial SSU rRNA". It matches the Rfam family "Bacterial small subunit ribosomal RNA", at positions 30 to 412 of the family's 1533-position model. The record is from RNAcentral.